CGCAAAGAGCGCUCCGAUAUCUUAUAAUGUGCUAAACUUCUGUUCUUUUGUUCAAGAAACCUGAUCAAUUUAUGCACUUCUUCUUGAGGGGUAUGUCAUUAUACUUUUUAACUAUUCCACUCAUCAACCCUUCAUCUAUUCAAUUCAUGCUUGAAAAAGCUCAAUUUGUAAAUAACGUUCAUUUUGUUGAAAAAAAAACUCAUAUAGGUACUCAUUCAUUUCGAUCUAGAAUGUAUUGAAAAAACAAAUUAAUGAAUUCCAUGUAUAAUAUAUCAAGUAAUAAAGAAAAACAAAUUUUGUCACUGUGUAGACAAUUUUCAUUUAACGUAAUUACUCAUUUCAUCAUCGACCUUAUCAUUCAAUACUGUUGACAUUACACGAAAGUUUUCAUACAUGACGGAUUUUAAUGAAAGAAAGAAAUAUGAUGGGGAAACAAAUGUUCGAAUCUAAAGCUGAAAUAAUACUUUUCCUAUUGAGUUCUGACAAGUAUUGUUGUUUUAAAAAUUAUAAGGCUAGGUAUCCCACAUUUCCAGUCAAAUCAUUUCCUAUUCCGAUAUGUCGCUAGUCGAGUUGAUAUCCAUUUUUUUAUUAUUACUGAAUGCACAUUUUGCAUUGAGUAGUUCGGAUAAAUUAUCAGAUGCUCUGAAAAACAAUUCGAUGACCGAGAAUCCAAACAAUAAUUCAUCAAUGGAUGCUGAUAAUAUUUUACGAAAAGAGGCCAGAAAAUUAUUGAAUGAAUGUGGAGUGGAGAUAACCAGUGAUGAGAACAGUUACUCCGAUAGAAAGGAAAACAGUCGCACAAAAAAAUCAAAGAACCAAAACGCUAACAAACACAGUAACUUCCAAAAUAAUUCUGAAUCUGAUGAAUCUAAUGAGUCGAGAGAACAAAACUAUCAUAAUGGCCAUAUAAACAGAAGAAAGCAAAACUUCAAUGGAAAAUACAAAAAAAAUGAUAACAGAAAUAACCACAAUAAUAAUAAUAAACAAAAUAAUCGUAAUUCCAACAAUGAAGACAAUAACGACGAUGAGAAUGAUAGUAAUGAUAAUGAUGGAUCAGAAGAAGAUUAUGAUUCAAGUGACAAGAAAUAUAACAGGGAAUAUGACAAUCAUAACAAUAGAAGGAAUAACCACAGAGGAAAUAAUAACGAAGAUGGAAAUGAUAACAAUAACGACAACAAUAAUAAUAAAAGAAAAAACGAAAACAGUAGUAACCGAAAUCGUUUUUUUGGUAGUAGCUCCAACUACAACUAUAAUGAUAAUAACAAAAACGAUUACAAUUCUAAUGGAGGUUAUGGAAACUAUCACUCAAGUGGAUACGAUAGCAAUAGAAAUCAAGGCAGCUAUGGCAGCAAUGAUGGUAACGACCCUAAUUGCAACACUUAUAACAGAAAUAAUAACUAUGGUAGCUAUGAUUAUAAUAGUAGAGGUAAUGGUUAUGACACGAGAGGUUUUGGAGGAUAUGCAAGAAGCCUCUCAUCAUACUUCCAUAAUAAUUUCAAAAACAAUGACGAUAUUGGAAUUUUAAGAUAUAAAAGAUCAGGCACCAAUGAGGAACAGUGCAUUAGUCAAUGUGUAUUUGGUUAUCUACAAAUGGUGAGUUGUUUAGCUUUAUGAAAGCAAAUAAGUUAACUUUUCAAACAUUUUCGAAAUAAGAGUGAGAAAGAUAUCCACUCUUGAAACUUUAACAACUAAACUGAACUUGACGACGAUAGGUUUCCAUCUGAAACAUUAGUCAUCAAAUGGCUCCAAGAACGCCUACAAAAUGAUAUGAAAAGGAUUAAAACUUUGAGAGAAGCUAGGAAAUGUUUCGGCAAACUUUCAUUUAUGG
This is an RNA transcript of Harmonia axyridis, 1828 nucleotides long. It is a transcript of the gene named GATA zinc finger domain-containing protein 14-like, with no coding region annotated. The record is from RefSeq and is a predicted model, not a curated record. NCBI's taxonomy places the organism in Eukaryota, Metazoa, Arthropoda, Insecta, Coleoptera, Coccinellidae. The transcript has 4 exons.